Cyclopterus lumpus (lumpfish) is the source of this 1301-nucleotide long non-coding RNA. RefSeq lists it as uncharacterized. The transcript is spliced from 4 exons. The record is from RefSeq and is a predicted model, not a curated record. NCBI's taxonomy places the organism in Eukaryota, Metazoa, Chordata, Actinopteri, Perciformes, Cyclopteridae.
UCCUGUUUGUAGCCAAUGAUGCAGCCGGCCUUCUUAGAUUCGGGAGAUAAGCCCCUCCCACAGGGCUAUCGACUUUACCAGCUCUUAGUUUAAAGGGUCCGGAUCUCCCUACAUGGUUGGAGAUCUGUUUAAGCUGGUGUUGAGGAAACUCGCCUGUCUGUCUCACUGCCGUCCCUCCUGUCUGUCUCACUGCCGUCCCUCCUGUCUGUCUCACUGCUUCCACUGACGACUUCACUCGACCGGGACCCUCUCGCGUCAGUUAAAUGCAGCUUUCCUCUAAAGGACCUUCAGGCUCUUGAGGUGCCAGUUCCACAGGCCUCCGCGGGAUUUUCUCCCUUUGAACUGUUGUUUGUCAGGACUCCGCGGGGGGUGCUCGAGCAAAGCUCCACACGCUGGGUCGGCCCUCACACGAGAAUUUGCUCCAGGCCCACAACGGCUGUACAACAGAGGGGCCAGGCUGAGACAAUUCACGCUGGGAGAGAAGGACGUAUUAACCUCAUAGCGAUUGAGACUCCUCCGGGCGUGACGGUGCGGUCACGACCCUACAGGUUACGGUAGCUGAGGUAUGGUAUCUGGGGUACCACUUGGGCAGUGGGCAGGUGCACCCUCAGGUGGACAAAACAAUCGCUAUUGCAGCCUGCCCAAGACUAACAAAGGAGUGAGGCCAUUUCUGGGGCUGGCAGGUUACUACAGGCGGUUCAACUCAAACUUUGCAGAGCUGACCAGCCCCUUGACUGACUUGACUCGGAAAGGUGCCUCAGAUCCAGUCCAGUGGACGGAGCAGUGCCAGUUGGUGUUUGAGAAGGUAAAACAAGCUCUCUGCGAGGAGCCAUUCCUUCAUACACCUAACUUCUCUCUCCCUUUUACUGUGCAGACUGGCACAUCGAACAGAGGGCUGGGGGCCGUUUUCUCCCAGCAGGUACAGGGGGGGGGGGUUCUGUACCCCUUCACUUCCUCUCUUUGGAGCCUGUGCGGAUGGAAGUAAAAGAUGACAUCAACCUUGCCGUGUCUGAUGCUCACUUGCAAGAUGGAGAAACAAUUAAGACAGCUCCUUGAGUCCAACUCAAAAGGUGGAGCUGGAACCAGCAACUGAAGAGGAACCAAACCAGCGUGGACAAAAUGAAGAGAACGGCAGCUUUAAGGAACCAAGAGAACAAAAACCAGGAGGAAGAGGAAAAGGGAGGAGCAGGAGGAAGAGGAGAAAGAGAAAGGGGAGGAGGACUUCUUCCGAGUAUUUCUACGACAGUCUGCUGCCGACACACACUUAUAAAUAGCUCACCAUUAAAUUAAGUCAAAUCCAA